UACGGAGGAUCCGAGCGUUAUCCGGAUUUAUUGGGUUUAAAGGGUGCGUAGGCGGCCCGUUAAGUCAGGGGUGAAAGACGGUAGCUCAACGAUCACAUUGCCAUUGAUACUGCAAAGCUAGAGUACAGUAGAGGUGGGCGGAAUUUAUGGUGUAGCGGUGAAAUGCAUAGAUACCAUAAAGAACACCGAUUGCGUAGGCAGCUCACUGGACUGUAACUGACGCUGAGGCUCGAAAGUGUGGGUAUCAAACAGG
Molecule: ribosomal RNA, 253 nt
Filed under: uncultured bacterium
Lineage: Bacteria
Description: partial 16S ribosomal RNA
Rfam family: Bacterial small subunit ribosomal RNA
Source: RNAcentral